CAUUGUCGAGAAGCCUGUUUCAAA
RNAcentral lists this small nuclear RNA (24 nucleotides) under Arabidopsis thaliana (thale cress). RNAcentral describes it as "snRNA_08722". Lineage: Eukaryota; Viridiplantae; Streptophyta; Magnoliopsida; Brassicales; Brassicaceae. The record is from RNAcentral.